This 756-nucleotide ribosomal RNA is filed under the name uncultured bacterium. RNAcentral's name for it is "bacterial SSU rRNA". It matches the Rfam family "Bacterial small subunit ribosomal RNA", at positions 1 to 805 of the family's 1533-position model. The record is from RNAcentral.
UUAGAGUUUGAUCCUGGCUCAGAGCGAUCGCUGGCGGCAGGCUUAACACAUGCAAGUCGAGCGGGCGUAGCAAUACGUCAGCGGCAGACGGGUGAGUAACGCGUGGGAACGUACCUUUUGGUUCGGAACAACACAGGGAAACUUGUGCUAAUACCGGAUAAGCCCUUACGGGGAAAGAUUUAUCGCCGAAAGAUCGGCCCGCGUCUGAUUAGCUAGUUGGUGAGGUAAUGGCUCACCAGGGCGACGAUCAGUAGCUGGUCUGAGAGGAUGAUCAGCCACAUUGGGACUGAGACACGGCCCAAACUCCUACGGGAGGCAUCAGGUGGGGAAUAUUGGACGAUGGCGGCAACCCCGAACCAGCCAUGCCGCGUGAGUGAUGAAGGCCCUAGGGUUGUAAAGCUCUUUUGUGCGGGAAGAUAAUGACGGUACCGCAAGAAUAAGCCCCGGCUAACUUCGUGCCAGCAGCCGCGGUAAUACGAAGGGGGCUAGCGUUGCUCGGAAUCACUGGGCGUAAAGGGUGCGUAGGCGGGUCUUUAAGUCAGGGGUGAAAUCCUGGAGCUCAACUCCAGAACUGCCUUUGAUACUGAAGAUCUUGAGUUCGGGAGAGGUGAGUGGAACUGCGAGUGUAGAGGUGAAAUUCGUAGAUAUUCGCAAGAACACCAGUGGCGAAGGCGGCUCACUGGCCCGAUACUGACGCUGAGGCACGAAAGCGUGGGGAGCAAACAGGAUUAGAUACCCUGGUAGUCCACGCCGUAA